This 305-nucleotide ribosomal RNA is filed under the name uncultured bacterium. RNAcentral's name for it is "bacterial SSU rRNA". It matches the Rfam family "Bacterial small subunit ribosomal RNA", at positions 338 to 657 of the family's 1533-position model. The record is from RNAcentral.
CCUACGGGGCGCAGCAGUGGGGAAUAUUGCACAAUGGGCGAAAGCCUGAUGCAGCAACGCCGCGUGAAGGAAGACGGUUUUCGGAUUGUAAACUUCUAUCAAUAGGGAAGAAAGAAAUGACGGUACCUAAAUAAGAAGCCCCGGCUAACUACGUGCCAGCAGCCGCGGUAAUACGUAGGUGGCGAGCGUUGUCCGGAAUUACUGGGUGUAAAGGGAGUGUAGGCGGGAAAGCAAGUCAGAAGUGAAAACUAAGGGCUUAACCCAUAGCCUGCUUUUGAAACUGUUUUUCUUGAGUGAAGUAGAGG